Molecule: ribosomal RNA, 651 nt
Filed under: uncultured Pseudomonas sp.
Lineage: Bacteria; Pseudomonadati; Pseudomonadota; Gammaproteobacteria; Pseudomonadales; Pseudomonadaceae
Description: bacterial SSU rRNA
Rfam family: Bacterial small subunit ribosomal RNA
Source: RNAcentral
AUUGAACGCUGGCGGCAGGCCUAACACAUGCAAGUCGAGCGGUAGAGAGAAGCUUGCUUCUCUUGAGAGCGGCGGACGGGUGAGUAAUGCCUAGGAAUCUGCCUGGUAGUGGGGGAUAACGUUCGGAAACGAACGCUAAUACCGCAUACGUCCUACGGGAGAAAGCAGGGGACCUUCGGGCCUUGCGCUAUCAGAUGAGCCUAGGUCGGAUUAGCUAGUUGGUGAGGUAAUGGCUCACCAAGGCGACGAUCCGUAGCUGGUCUGAGAGGAUGAUCAGCCACACUGGAACUGAGACACGGUCCAGACUCCUACGGGAGGCAGCAGUGGGGAAUAUUGGACAAUGGGCGAAAGCCUGAUCCAGCCAUGCCGCGUGUGUGAAGAAGGUCUUCGGAUUGUAAAGCACUUUAAGUUGGGAGGAAGGGCAUUAACCUAAUACGUUAGUGUUUUGAUGUUACCGACAGAAUAAGCACCGGCUAACUCUGUGCCAGCAGCCGCGGUAAUACAGAGGGUGCAAGCGUUAAUCGGAAUUACUGGGCGUAAAGCGCGCGUAGGUGGUUUGUUAAGUUGGAUGUGAAAUCCCCGGGCUCAACCUGGGAACUGCAUUCAAAACUGACUGACUAGAGUAUGGUAGAGGGUGGUGGAAUUUCCUGU